RNA transcript from Chrysoperla carnea, 1983 nucleotides. It is a transcript of the gene named phosphopantothenate--cysteine ligase, with no coding region annotated. The transcript is spliced from 6 exons. Lineage: Eukaryota; Metazoa; Arthropoda; Insecta; Neuroptera; Chrysopidae. The record is from RefSeq and is a predicted model, not a curated record.
UGAUAUGACUUUUGUACCGAAGUGUUAAUUAAGUGUUAGUUAACCUUCAAAUUUUUAUAUACUUUUGAAAAUACGGGUAACAUGGCAACAAAUUGGGAAGAAUUUUAUGCUACAAAUCUUCCACCAACUGAUUUUGAAGAUAAUCGAAUUAUUUUAAAAGAAUUUUGCGACAGGCAUUAUAAAUUAGGCAACAAGAUAGCAUUAAUAACGUCUGGUGGGACUACAGUACCUUUAGAACAUAACACAGUUCGUUUUGUUGAUAAUUUUAGUGCAGGCACACGUGGUUCAGCAUCAGCUGAAUAUUUUCUUGAACAUGGUUACUCGGUUAUUUUUAUGCAUCGUCUCAAAUCAUUAGAACCAUUUACAAGACAUUUUAACGGACAAAAAUUUAUGGAUAUGUUGGAUUUACAAGAGAAAAAUGGACAUACAACCAUUACGGUAAAACCUGACAGUGUUGAUGUUUUGGCGCCAGUAUUAGCACGAUAUAAACAGACCAUUGAAAAUGGUAUGAUACUGUAUAUUAGUUUUACAUCUUUAGCCGAUUAUUUGUGGUUGCUUCGAGCUUCGUGCGAAUGUUUAGCAUGCUUUGGAAGAAACGCAAUUCUAUAUUUAGCUGCAGCUGUAUCUGAUUUUUACAUUCCACCAAAUGAAAUGGCAACACAUAAACUACAAUCCGAGCAACCACCAAACAUAUCAUUAAAAUUAGUUCCAAAAAUGUUAUCAUCUGUUGUAAAUAUUUGGGUACCACAAGCAUAUGUUGUUUCAUUCAAAUUAGAAACCGAUGAGAAUCUUCUAAUAUCAAAAGCUCGUCAAGCGCUUGUGAAAUAUAAGCAUAAAUUGGUUAUAGCCAAUAUGCUGCAAACACGCAAACAAAGGGUAAUAUUUGUAACACCCGAAGAAAGUUUUGAAAUUAAUUUAACACGAGAACAAAUUCAUCAUGGUGUUGAAAUUGAGGAUUCAAUUGUAGCAAAUGUUGUUGAACGACAUUCAGAAAUGAUACAAUCAACGAAUUCACAUAAAAAAAAGUAACAAAGAUUUGCUUACUUUUAGUAAAACCGUCGUUAAAAUCAUCGAUGUAUCAUUUUUUGAGUCCUUUUUUUCUUGGUAAACAUGGUGUUGGAUAUUUGUUUUAUACAUAGAUGUCUAUAUUCUAUCUAGAUUGUUAACCUAUACUUGUUGAAGAAAAGUAUAAAGAUGGAAUGGAGUAAUGAUUGUCAUUUGGCGUCCAUUUUGGAUAAUUUGGAUCCUGAGAAAACUAAUGCCGUGAGCUUUAAAUAUAAUACGUUUUAAGAUUGCUAACUUACCAUUUGGGACAGAAAUACCAAUUUCAUUCGUAAUUUCAUAUCAGAUGGACGCCUAAUGACAUCACUAUGUGAGUCCACAUACUUUUUCUUAUCUCAACGAUAGAAAUAUAUAUCUUAUUGCCUUCAUUAGAUGAAACAGAAUGGUAUUCUGUUGAUUUCCCAACUAGGGAAUAAAAACUUAGCUCUAUUUAUCUGUCCUAAAUAACACUAUUUUAGAUGUUUCCUACAAAUAUGUUCCAAUGUGACUGAGGUACACUAGAUCUUUUAGAUAAUAUCAAAUAUUGUAAAUGAAUCUUGUACCAAAAAAAACUUAUCUUAUCCAUGUGUCUUGAUGUGUAGAUGAAUGUAAUUUAUUAAAGGUUCAGUUUCAUCAUCUUUGAUUGGAGAGUUUAAUGUCGGUUAGUCCAAAUUAAUUUAAAUUAGAUGUGUUCAGCCCGUUAAAGUGCUUGCAAAUACUUAUUGUUAGCUAAUAUCUUGGUAUAAAAUUGCAAACUAGUUAAAAUAUUCACCUUUUCCCCUUCCAUUUGCUGUAAGACGUGACGAAUUUUAACCCUCUUCGAUUAUAUCAGAAAGUAUACAAUUUAGAUCGAAUCUGGAGAAUCUCCCUUAAGACACCUGUUAGUAAUUCAAGCAUUGUAUCCUUUUUAGGGCUCUUAUUUAAGUACUCGAAGUUCCUUGA